Molecule: long non-coding RNA, 443 nt
Organism: Megalopta genalis
Lineage: Eukaryota; Metazoa; Arthropoda; Insecta; Hymenoptera; Halictidae
Source: RefSeq, a predicted model, not a curated record
CGAUGGCUUUUUAGUAGUUAACACUUUCGUAACAGGGGGGGGGGGGGUGGAGGGAGGAGGGGUUACAAUGGUGCGGCGUUUCUCAUCGUCUUUUUUUGUCCGCCCUCGCGCAUACCUCUCGUAUUCACGUUCGUUUAAACUUAAACGAUAACCAACUAGUAUACAUCAAUCUCUACGUCCCAGUCACAAGCCUCGCGCAUCGAUAUCAAACCUAGGUUAAGUUCAUGGUUAAUGCAGGAGCAUAGGGAUCCCGGUGCCCGGACUUUCUCGGUGUUCCUAGAGCUCGUUUUGUUCUGAAGUAGACACGGGUACGUAUUCGUUUCGAACACACCGUUCGGAGCCUUUAAUCAACGUUUUUCAAAUAAUUUCAAUGAAAAUAUGGUCAUAACAUGUUCAGUAAUAAACAACAUCUUCGGUAAUAAAAUUCAAACGAUAAAAUCUCA